RNAcentral lists this ribosomal RNA (511 nucleotides) under uncultured bacterium. RNAcentral's name for it is "bacterial SSU rRNA". It matches the Rfam family "Bacterial small subunit ribosomal RNA", at positions 28 to 536 of the family's 1533-position model. The record is from RNAcentral.
GAUGAACGCUGGCGGCGCGCCUAACACAUGCAAGUCGAACGAUUAAAGCACCUUCGGGUGUGUAUAAAGUGGCGAACGGCUGAGUAACACGUGGGCAACCUGCCCCUCUCAUUGGGAUAGCCACGGGAAACCGUGGAUAAUACCGAAUACUUCGAGUCUCCCGCAUGGAAGACUCGAGAAAGCUCCGGCGGAGAGGGAUGGGCCCGCGGCCUGUUAGCUUGUUGGUGGGGUAACGGCCUACCAAGGCAAUGAUGGGUAGCUGGGUUGAGAGACCGACCAGCCAGAUUGGGACUGAGACACGGCCCAGACUCCUACGGGAGGCAGCAGUGGGGAAUAUUGGACAAUAGGGGGAACCCUGAUCCAGCAACGCCGCGUGGAGGAUGAAGGUCUUCGGAUUGUAAACUCCUGUUAGGGGGACGAAGGAUGCCGGCGAACAGUCGGCAAACUUGACGGUACCCCCAGAGGAAGCCCCGGCUAACUCUGUGCCAGCAGCCGCGGUAAGGAUGAGACA